UGAGGAAUAUUGGUCAAUGGGCGCAAGCCUGAACCAGCCGUCCCGCGUGCAGGAAGACGGCGCUAUGCGUUGUAAACUGCUUUUCCAGGGGGAGAAAUUUCCGUACGUGUACGGAAUUGACGGUACCCUGGGAAUAAGCAUCGGCUAACUCCGUGCCAGCAGCCGCGGUAAUACGGAGGAUGCAAGCGUUAUCCGGAUUCAUUGGGUUUAAAGGGUGCGUAGGCGGACUAUUAAGUCAGUGGUGAAAUCCUGCAGCUUAACUGCAGAACUGCCAUUGAUACUGAUGGUCUUGAGUCUGGUUAAGGUAGGCGGAAUGUGUAAUGUAGCGGUGAAAUGCUUAGAUAUUACACAGAACACCAAUUGCGUAGGCAGCUUACUGAGCCGACACUGACGCUGAGGCACGAAAGCGUGGGGAUCGAACAG
RNAcentral lists this ribosomal RNA (423 nucleotides) under uncultured bacterium. RNAcentral's name for it is "bacterial SSU rRNA". It matches the Rfam family "Bacterial small subunit ribosomal RNA", at positions 355 to 775 of the family's 1533-position model. The record is from RNAcentral.